AUGAUCCUCAACGAUGAUGGAACCUAUGACUCCAUGAGUGAAGAGGAAAUGGAAGCCCUUGAGCAAGUGGCCAUGCACCGGCGAGUGAACGGAGGUGAAGAUGAUCAAGUCUUUUGUGAUGAAGAUUCGAGCCCCGCUCUCGUUGUCUCCAAAGUCUUGACUCUUCAACAUCAACAAGAAGAAGACCAAAGAUGCCACAUCUUUCACACAAAGGCCGGCAUCAAUGGAAGGUCCGUCAAGGUCAUCAUCGAUGGAGGUAGUUGCCACAACUUGGCAAGUGAUGAACUAUUCUCCAAGCUUCAAUUGGUCAAGAUGAAGCACCCGCACCCAUACAAAGUCCAAUGGCUAAGUGACUCCGGCACUAUACGAGUUGAGCAUACGGUCCAAGUCUCCUUCAAGAUUGGCGCAUAUGAGGACACUUUGAAGUGUGAUGUCAUCCCGAUGUCUGUUUUCCACCUCCUUCUUGGUCGACCAUGGCAAUUCGACCGCGGCGUCAUCCACAAUGGGCGUACCAAUCACUAUAGCUUCAAGAUGAAAGGGAAGGAGUAUGUGCUACGACCUAUGUCUCCUAGUCAAGUGAUAGCUGACAAGCAAGCCACCCAUCAUGGAGGGAAGAGUGAGAAAGUGACCCACCAAAAAGUGAGUGAGAGCCACAAGCCACACUUGAGCGCCUCUUCGCGUAGAGAGAAAAACCUAGUCCUUUUUUCCACCAAAAGUGAGACGAGAGAAGUGUGUGAGAACCCAUCCAAUGUUAUGCAAUUUGUCCUUGUGUGCAAGGAUGGGGAACCAAAACCUAACACCUCUCACGAUCUACCUUUAGUGUUUCAAUCUCUUUUGCAGGAAUUCCAAGAUGUUUUCCCCGAUGAACUACCUCCGGGUCUACCUCCUCUACGAGGCAUUGAGCAUCAAAUCGAUCUCAUCCCCAGAGCGCCCCUACCAAACAAAGCUCCAUACCGCGUCAACCCCAAAGAAACUAAGGAGAUCCAACGGCAAGUACAACAAUUAAUUGACAACGGUCAUGUACGUGAAAGCUUAAGCCCUUGUGUCGUUCCCGUUAUACUUGUGCCCAAGCAAGACAGUAGUUUUCGCAUGUGCUCGGAUUGUAGACCCAUCAAUGCUAUUACCGUUCGUUAUAGGUAUCCCAUUCCUCGCUUAGAUGAUAUGCUUGAUGAACUUAGCGGUGCCACCAUUUUCUCAAAAAUUGUUCUUAAAAGUGGCUACUAUCAAAUCCGCAUACAAGAAGGUGAUGAAUGGAAAACCGCUUUCAAA
This 1269-nucleotide ribosomal RNA is filed under the name Triticum aestivum (bread wheat). RNAcentral's name for it is "partial small subunit ribosomal RNA". The record is from RNAcentral. Lineage: Eukaryota; Viridiplantae; Streptophyta; Magnoliopsida; Poales; Poaceae.